UUUGUUGUUGUUCUCAUAUACAUAAAAAUAUAUAGUUUCAAAGAAGAAAAAAUAAAACUUCAUUUUAUUUUUACAUAUUAUAACAAUAAUCAUGUCUGUCAAAUUACAAACGUUUUUCCUUUUGUCCAUAAUAUAUAUAUAGUAUUGUUGAAAUAUGUGAAGUAUGGUAACAAUGUAAACAACAGUUUUAAUUUAUGCAGUGGAAGAAAACUGUUGGAAAAUGAUGUUCAGAAUGCUGAAAACACGGUUAAAGUGCAAACUAAUUUACAACAUGAUGUUGUGGAUGAUUUAGAUGUUGCAGGAAUUAUAAAGCAAGUAACAAAUGUGCGAAAGACAUUAUUAGAUUAUGCAUAUAACAAAUGGCAAAAUAUUAUGUAUCAUGUAGUUAAUAUUAUGGUACAAUUUUGUAUUUCCGGAAUUGAUUCUGAGAAGUUGUUAAUUGAAUUUUAUACGACAUGUAACGUAAUGGAUUUACAUCGACAACAUGAAAUUAAUAAAAUUAAUGCAAUAUUUGAACAAUAUUUAAGUUUAAUAGAUCUGAAGAAGUCGCAUUUUUUUUGUUGGUACAUUAAGUCAUGAAGAAAAAGGAUUAUUAAGAGAGUUAGAAAUGACAGCUAAGAGAAUGUUAAUGGAAUGGUAUGGUUUUCAGAUUGAUUUUUGGAAUAUCUGGUUUAAAAAACAAUUUGCAAUUUAUAAUAUACAAGAUGCAGAUUCGUAAAGCAGUGUAAUGUUUAUGUAUUAUAUUAUAUAUAUAUAUAUAUAUAUAUAUAUAUAUAUAUAUAUAUAUAUAUAUAUAUAUAUAUAUAUNNNNNNNNNNUAUAUAUAUAUAUAUAUAUAUAUAUAUAUAUAUAUAUAUAUAUAUAUGUGCGCGUGUAUUUGAAUAUAAUACACAUCAUAAUUACACUCUAUUUUAUUUUUUUUUUAAUCCUUUUUAACGUAUAUUUUUAUUUAUUAAAUUUAUAUAUUUAUUGUUUUUAAUCAUGUUGCAAUUCUGAAUGAUUGGUGUGAAACUAUGUUUUUACAUAUGUAUAUUUUUAAACAUGUCAGUUUGUUUUAUAUUUGAUAGAUAUAUUGAAAACUGUUUAUUUUCUUUUUAUUAUUAUCAAUUUAUUUUAAAUAAUGUUUUUUUUAAUGAUUUACUACAGUGAAAUAAAUAUAAAUAUUUGAAUUACUUGUUAAUUUGU
RNAcentral lists this long non-coding RNA (1184 nucleotides) under Piliocolobus tephrosceles (Ugandan red Colobus). RNAcentral describes it as "lncRNA (ENSPTEG00000000110.1)". The record is from RNAcentral. Lineage: Eukaryota; Metazoa; Chordata; Mammalia; Primates; Cercopithecidae.